UGGGGAAUAUUGCACAAUGGGCGCAAGCCUGAUGCAGCCAUGCCGCGUGUGUGAAGAAGGCCUUCGGGUUGUAAAGCACUUUCAGCGAGGAGGAAGGUGGUGAACUUAAUACGUUCAUCAAUUGACGUUACUCGCAGAAGAAGCACCGGCUAACUCCGUGCCAGCAGCCGCGGUAAUACGGAGGGUGCAAGCGUUAAUCGGAAUUACUGGGCGUAAAGCGCACGCAGGCGGUUUGUUAAGUCAGAUGUGAAAUCCCCGGGCUCAACCUGGGAACUGCAUUUGAAACUGGCAAGCUAGAGUCUCGUAGAGGGGGGUAGAAUUCCAGGUGUAGCGGUGAAAUGCGUAGAGAUCUGGAGGAAUACCGGUGGCGAAGGCGGCCCCCUGGACGAAGACUGACGCUCAGGUGCGAAAAGCGUGGGGAGCAAAACAGGAUUAGAUACCCCUGGUAGUCCACGCUGUAAACGAUGUCGAUUUUGGAGGUUGUGCCCUUGAGGCGUGGCUUCCGGAGCUAACGCGUUAAAUCGACCGCCUGGGGAGUACGGCCGCAAGGUUAAAACUUAAAUGAAUUG
Molecule: ribosomal RNA, 569 nt
Filed under: uncultured bacterium
Lineage: Bacteria
Description: partial 16S ribosomal RNA
Rfam family: Bacterial small subunit ribosomal RNA
Source: RNAcentral